RNAcentral lists this long non-coding RNA (5719 nucleotides) under Musa acuminata (dwarf banana). RNAcentral's name for it is "long non-coding RNA (MACU_LNC005041)". Lineage: Eukaryota; Viridiplantae; Streptophyta; Magnoliopsida; Zingiberales; Musaceae. The record is from RNAcentral.
GCUGAGGCUGGUGCAGUUGCCAUACGUGCACCAGACGUGUUUCCACUGCUCCAUGCCAUUGUUGCUGGGGCAGCUCAGGUUGGGCCAGUACGCGAACAGGUCCUCGAUCAGAUCCACCAGCUGUUCGCGUUCCCCAUUAAUUCCACCCACGUCAAACAACAACUCCAUCAUCAUCAAUCGCCAUGCAUCGAGCUAAUUAAAAGAGGACUCACCGGAUUGAUCAAGAAGCGGCAGUGGCUGUUGCAGUUGGUGAUGGGGUUGCCGGUGCUGCUGUCGUACGUCUCCAACGACUGCACAAGGAAGUCCGCCGCCGGCUCUCCCGUCGUCGGUAUGCAGCAAUUCUCCCCCAGGUUCACGCUUUGGCAGUAACCCCCUGGCCACUGCAAGCAACCACACAGAUUUCAUGCAACACACACAGUGCAGAGUAACUCCACCACGUAUUGAUUGACUUGGCUUCUUAUACCAGUAGGUUCAAGUAAAGCAAGUCGGGCGUGGAAGCCGCCGCUGCCGAAGAGUAACACAGGCACAAGAUCAGGCCAAGGAAGCAGAGCCGAGGAAGCGCCUCGUUCGAUCCAGCCAUUCUCGCAAGCAGGAAGCUUAAUGGGUCUGCGAAUGAGCGAGAGCAGGAAGCUGUAUUUAAAGCAUGUCCGGUGCAUGAAUUGAGGAUAUAAACAAUAAAAUAAUUAUCAGAGGAGGAAGCGCAUGUUUUCAUCGUGCUUGGGUACGACGUUGUCUGGGUCCCUCGAUCAAUAAUUGGUGUGGAGACAGAGAGUACUCUUAUUCAUAUUUUCAACAGCACAGACAUCCAAGGAACAGUCAAUGUUGUCUUUUGAAUCAGUGAGAAGACGAGAGAGAGGACAUGGGACGAGGACACCCGACGGUCUUGGCGGUGGCUGAAAUGGCUGGUUGGUGGAUGCGGCGGAACAGGGGAGUCCCCCGCAUGCACGUGUUUCACGUUGGAUUACGUAUUUGUGGUGGGCGAGAGGAUAAUAUCAUAAAAGAAAAGAGAAGGCCAUUUGGGAGAAGUGAUUCCAUGUCUUCGUUUAUUGGGCAUUGUGACUUCAUGGCAGCAACUCGUUGAUGUGUACUUUGAGAUAAUAGAUCAUACUAUUACAGUGCUAGGGAUCAAGCUUCUUCGAGCGAGUAAAUCUCUGCUCUACUCCAUGAAUAAUAGAUCAUACUAUUACAGUGCUAGGGAUCAAGCUUUAUUUCAUCAUCGAAAACUCUCUCAUCAAUCUGCACAAUCGAUUGUGACAUCACCUUCUUUCUCGCUGACCCACCCCAAUUAGGAUUGCUACUUACUCAUCGAUGUCUUCUCUUGUUAUUGGAUAUAAUCGGUGUCAUCCUCCAUUUUUUGCAACAAUCAUAAUUGUCUCAACAUCAAGUAUAGUAUAAGCAAAGUCCUCUUCUUCAACUUGUGGUAUCUCUUGUGAUCACUUGUAUGAUUCAUCACCUCUCUUUCUUAGUCAUUAUUGAUCAUCAAUAUGUAUUCUUCCUCAAGGAUGAGGCUGUCCUCGUUCUUCGCCAGCAGCUUCUUCCCACGAGAUCCACGUUGGUUGCAGAUUUCUCUCUUCGAUAUGAUUCCCAUUAAUGGCGUGUUAUUACCUAUCUACAGUGCCAUUUGACGUUAUUACGUGUUGAUUCUUCACUCUUCUUCCCCAUUAUUUCUACAACUAACAAUUGACUCGAUAAUAAUGACGCACUGUUGAAACAUUUAUUAUAAUUAAAGAAGAACGUUCUCUGAAUUAUUAUUAUUUUGUUUUAAAAAAUACUUUAUUUCUACCUAAUUAAUCAAUUAUUUAAAAAAAUUGAUGAUCAAUUCAUUUUCACUAACGCAAUAAAAUUUAAUAUGUGAUUUCUUCCAAGAAAAUUAUACUAAAGAUAGAAUGUAAUAAAUGUAAUAAUAUAUAUAUAACUAAUAUUUUUAAAAUAUAUUAAAUCGGAUAAUUUUACGGAAUAAGGUUUUUAGUCGUUCGAUGUAUGAAUCUGUUAUAUCAAUAUAAAAUUAUAUUUUAGAUAUUAAAAAUAUAUACGAGAUAAUAUUUUGGUGCAGUAAUAUAUGUUUAAGAAACACCACUUUUAUUACUGCAGGUGUGAAGAUGAUGCGACUUUACAACUCGGGAGUAAAAGACGACGCGACAGCUCACGUCACCAUAAGUGCAUGCAUGUGGAUCACGCCAAGCAGAAGAAGACAGGCUUAAAGCAGUUCCUCCAUCACAGUGCCAUAUCGUCGCCGGAGGGCAACUCGAUCACUGUGCUGGAAACGGCGUCGUCUUCACGGCCGUGCAGUGGGUACGACACAGGGGGGAACUUGACCGUGUCGCUGCAGUUACUCUCCCUGCCGUUGGGGCAGCUGAUGAUCGAUCUCCCGUCGCUGGAGACGCAGACGCGGAUCUGGGAGAGGUAGUCGUUGUAGAUUAAAGGCCAGAGAAUGUAAUUCCUGGUGCACACCACCGUGAACGAGAACCCGAUCCUGGGCACCAACGCGUCGUUGAUGUCCUCCAGGCUGUAGCUCUUCGUCUCCGACGGGAUGAUGGCUUGAGAUCAGGAACAGAUCCAUGCGUUAGCUGCAGACACUUGUAAGCUCGAGGUCGGCAUGCAGGGCAGGGCUGCUUACCUUUGGAGCCGAGGGCAUGGAGGACGUCGGCUCGAGCCCGGAGCUGAAGCGCCCGGCCGAAGUAAUUCACCUCGCUAAGGCUGGUGCAGUUGCCGUAGGUACACCAGGCGGCCUUCCACACCUGCUUCCCGUUCUGGGCUGGGCAGCUCAAGCUGGGCCAGUAGGCGUUCAAGUCGUUCAUCAGAUCGUUAAGCUGUGGCAUGCGCAGAGUGAUCAGUGUGGGUCGGGAGCAGCGGAGAUCAUCGACUGCAUAGAUCCAAUCAGGCCUAUUACCGGGUUCAACAAGAAGCGGCAGCUGGGUUCGCAGUUGGCGACGAGCUUGCCGGUGGCGCUGUCGUAGGUCUCCAUGGUCUCCACCAGGAAGUCUGGCUCGGGGUUUUCGAUGAGCGGGUCAACGCAGCAGGUCGGCUGCCAGAACCACCCUGGCUGGCAGCGAGUCCCCGGCCACUGCAGGAGUCACGAUCCGUUAGACUUCAUUAACAGUUUACCGUACAAGAAAGGCUUUCUGUAAAGCCGAGAGAGAGAGAGAGAGAGAGGAAUAGGUACUAUGAGAGACAGGAUCAUGUAGUCGUAUGAAGCAGCUGCUAGCGCACAAGAGGCGGCGCACAAGAGGAAGCAGAACGUGGGAAGAGCCUUUGAGCCAGCCAUUCUGCAGAGGUGGAGAGGAUGAUCGGGGGAGAGACGCUUCGUGAGGUGAUGAGUCUGAUGGCUCUAUAUAAGCACUACAUUGAAGACACACCCACCUACUGAUAAUUGUUGGACUAAUAAUGCACCGCGAUUGCUGUUAGGGGGGUCUUAAAAUAAUGCACUUCGCAUAAAAUGUCGUACACCAACAUGAAACAUGAGGGACAUUCCCGCAUAUCGCAAGCAUAGUGGGUUGCAAAAUGCAAGGAAAGAAAGUAAGGAAUUUAUUUGAUUAUGGUCUCUCAUAGCUAUAAGAUUAUGGUCUCUCGUAGCUAUAUGGACUAUGUGACAUCGUCAAACCACGAUGUCACCUCCACCCUCCACCCCACCAGCCACUGGACCCUUUCCAUACAUUACAAUCAUUAAUCUUGAUGGAGGUGAACGAGAGAUAAUCAUAAGUAUUUUUCCUCUCUUCUCUUUUGUAUGACUCAUCGUAUUAGAUAUUAUCGUACGCUUCACGCACAUAUUGUUUUACUCACCUGAUCGAGCAACGAUAAUAGUGUGAUAGAAGCGAGCAAGGGAUACUCCUUCGACUAAGGGGCUUGAAAUCUAAGAGAUAGAAAAGGGAUUGAGGAUAAAGACACGAGCAAGAGAUAAUAUAAUUUUAUGACGAAUAAGAGUUAAAGAGUAAGAUGAGAAUGACUAUAUGAUGCGAAUAAAACAAAAAAGUGACAUUAGUAGAAUAAAAAGUAAAAAANNNNNNNNNNNNNNNNNNNNNNNNNNNNNNNNNNNNNNNNNNNNNNNNNNNNNNNNNNNNNNNNNNNNNNNNNNNNNNNNNNNNNNNNNNNNNNNNNNNNCGUGUUAUUAUCUAUCGGCAAACAAUUGACUUGAUAAUUGAUAAGGCAUAUAUUUAGGAUCUCGGCCACGUCGCGAUCCACGCCACGUCACACUCCUGCAGAUUCAACACAAGGGUUGCCUUCCUUCCACGUCGAGUUGGAGCUCGUAUAGGGAGGCACCCUCUCAACAAGUCCCUUCCCAGAAAGCUUGGGACGUUGUCCCAUGGCGUCGUUCCGCGCAUACCGGGUGACGAUUACACGAAGGUACGAUCUUGGGGGUAUCGAUCGUCAAGUCAAAUCCGCGUAUAAUCGAUCCUCGGACAAUAGUAUAAAAUCCCUUGACCGGCAUCUGGCUAGGAGACAAAGAACAGAAGAAAAAAAUCACUGACUUAGUCUACGAUGGGCCAAAGUCGGGAAUCUCCAGACCAGGGCGUGUGUGCAGGAACGUGGCCACCCCCGAACUAGCUCAAUCCCUCAUUGGAGAUGCGACCAUCCUGGCCGUUGAUCCAGACGCGACCAUCCCGACCCCUGAUCCAACUCGGCCUCGAUGCUUCUUCCAAUCGAUCGAGAGGCGCACUCCCGAACGUCGAAAACUCUGGACAUCGACAUGUGAACCAAAACGUGCCGACUCCUCGACCACGGCACGUAAGUUCACCAACAAAAAUAACGACGCAUUGUUGAAACAUUGAUUAUAAUCAAAGAAGAACGUUCUCAAAAUUAUUUUAAAAAAUAUUUUAUUUCUACCUAAUUAGUCAAUUAUUUAAAAUUUUUUUGAUGAUCAAUUCAUUUUCACUAACUCAGUAAAAUAUAAUAUUUGAAGAAAAUUAUACUGAAGAUAGAAUGUAAUAAAUGUAAUUAUAUAUAUAUAAUUAAUAUUUUUAAAAUAUAUUAAAUCGGAUAAUUUUACGGAAUAAGGUUUUGAGUCGUUCGAUGUAUGACUCUGUUAUAUCAAUAUAAGAUGAUAUUUUAGAUAUUAAAAAUAUAUACGAGACAACAUUUUGGUGCAGUUAUAUAUGUUUAAGAAAGACCACUUUUAUUACUGCAGGUGUGAAGAAGAUGCGACUCUACAACUCGGGAGUAAAAGACGAAGCGACAGCUCACAUCACCAUAAGUGCAAGCAUGUGGAUCACGCCAAGCAGAAGAAGACAGGCUUAAAGCAGUUCCUCCAUCACAGUGCCAUCUCGUCGCCGGAGGGCAACUCGAUCACUGUCUUGGAAACGGCGUCGUCUUCACGGCCUUGCAGUGGGUACGACACAGGGGGGAACUUGACCGUGUCGCCGCAGUUACUCUCCCUGCCGUUGGGGCAGCCGAUGAUCGACCUCCCGUCGCUGGAGACGCAGACGCGGAUCUGGUAGAGGUAGUCUUCGUAGAAGAAAGGCCAGAGAAUGUAAUUCCUGGUGCACACCACCGUGAACGAGAACCCGAUCCUGGGCACCAACGCGUCGUUGAUGUCGUCCAGGCUGUAGCUCUUCGUCGCGUGCGGUAUGAUCCCACUCGAGCCCAGGUUGACGAGGGGGUCCACCUUCUUCCUGAGUUGAAGCGCCCGGUCGAAGUAGAGCGACUGGUUGAGGCUGGAGCAAGUGCCGUAGGUGCACCACACGUCCUUCCAGUGGGGCAUCCCGCUGUUGCUGGGACAGGUCAG